ACUAUACGCGGGAAGCAGGUCUAAAAUGGAUAAAUCCGAGUCGUUAUUUUGAUUCAAGACCUGUGAGUAAUGCUCCAUCCAUCUCUAGCACUGUGUAAGGCUCUAGGUGAAUUAAUAAUUUAUGUAAUUCCCUUUUGAAAACAUAUCUGUUGUCCAUUUGUUUGAAUCUUCUAGGAAGCUUAUUAAACAGCUUCAUACAAACGUACUCGGCACCCCUCUCUGUAGCUGAAAGUCUAUGGAUAGGGUACACAAAAUCGGAGCUUCUACUAGAAUGAGAUGGUAAAUUUUCCCUGAAAUAUUCUCGAUUCUUGAAAAGAAACAUGAGACAUUCCUCAAUAUUUAGUGCAGCAAAUGUCAACAAACCACAACUCCUAAAGAAACCCCUACAAGUUGCUCUAUAGCUCAGUUUAUUGAUGACUUUAUGGCCCUCUUUUGAAUUCGGAAUAUUUCAUCUGAAGCUUUGACACUUCCAUAAAAAAUAACUCCAUACCUGAGAAGUGAUUCGAAACAUGAGAAAUAAAUCAUCUUCAAACCACAUCCGCCCAAAUACUGCGACAUCACCCUUAAAGUGUAGCAUACUGAAUUUAAUUUCUUGUUGAGUUUGUCGAUAUGAACGUCCAUUAUAAGGUUUCAUCAACUAUCAAUCCCAGUAAUCUCGCAUCAGUACUCACACCAACAUCCACUCCAUUUAGGCUUACCUGGUAGGAAUAUUCAACGUUGCUUCUCUCAGUUUUGAAAAAGACACAAUCAGUUUUUCUGUGAUUCAAUAGAAGUCCCUCAUUACAUAUCCAGUCUGAUAAAGCUUCAUAAAUUUCAUUUAAUUUUGCAAUUAAGGUAUUAAGGUCUUUCGCAGCUACUAAAAUAUUCUUAUCAUCUGCAUAAUCACAAAAAAAAACAAUUCAAACUGGCAACUGAUAUAGGAGCAUCAUUUAUAUAAAUAAUGAAUAAGAUUGGUUCCACUAUGCUGCCCUGUUGAAUACCUAUUUCAACAGGUUCUGGAUUAGAUCUAUAGGAGAUUCCUUCCCCUGUAAUGAUUGUCUGCUGAUAUCUCCCUGAAAGGUAUGAUCCCGACCAUGCGAGCAAAGCACCAGCAAUUCCAUACCUUUUCAGUUUUUUCAAUAAAACCCUAUGACUCACACAAUCAUACGCCUUUGUAAGAUCCAAGAAAAGUCCCAUUACUUGAUUUUUUUCCUCCAAAGCUUGCAAAAUUUUCUCUGUAAACUCCAAAAUGGCAGUGUGAGUUUCUCCCUUUCAAAUAUGCAUGCUGGCUCUUUGUCAACAAAUCAUUUGUUAUAAAGUACUCCAUUAAUCUGCUACUCACACAUUUCUCAAAAACUUUUGAAAAACUAGGUAAUAAACUUACUGGCCUAUAGUUUUCAAUCUCUGUAACGUUCCCUUUCUUGUGUAGAGGUUUAACCGUUGCUAAUUUUAACGCAUCUGGAAAAAUUCCUGAUUCAAAAGAUGACUUUAUGGCAUAUGUUAACGGUGUACUGAUCUCAUGAAUCCAAAAUUUUAUGAGUGAUGUUGAAAUUUCAUCAUAUCCACUGCUGUGCUUAUUUUUGAGGCUUUUUACUGAGGCUAUUAUUUCUUCUUCUGUUAUUUUUUUGAACCGCAUGGACCUAUCGGCCUGUUCAAAAUAAGGAACAUGAUCUUCUUCGAUGGAAUGGGGCACCAUGUUGAUUGCUGAAGUUGAAAAAUAUUUAUUGAAUUUGUCUGCAGUAUCCUUUCCGUCACCUUCCACCUGUAUAUCUCUAGGAGCAUUUGAUCCCUCCUUUAUGCUAUUCAUUAUAGACCAUGUAGUUUUGGAUUUGUUAUCGGAUUCAUCUAUCUAUCUAUCUUGUGUUGGUGAUAUGCACCCUUUCUUCUUGCUAACAUUUUCUCAUAAGUUAUUUUUGCAUCCUUAUAUUGUUGUCUGAAAGCUGCAUUUACAGGGCUAAUAACAUAUAAUAUGUCCAGUUGCCUUUUGCAUUCUUGAAUACCGGGAUCCACCAUAUUCUGUUUAAACACUUUCUUUCUCAGUUGUAUCUUCUUUAUUGGAAAGCUCAUAUCAAAGUAGUGUCGAAAUAUACUGUAAAAUCAGGAAAGAAAGAAUAUAUUGGGAGUGUUGGACACUGUUUAUUAUCUAUUGUUCACUGUGUAACAAUGCCGACGUUUCGAAACAAAUCGUUUCUUUUCCAAGGCUGUAAAUAAAUACAAAAAGUAUACUAUAAGACACACAAUAUGACAUAACAUGAAAAUAAAUUACCUAGUUACGAGAACAAUAUUGUACGCUUUUUAAAAACAUUAGGAUUUAACAAAGAAAUCAAAAUCUCUUGGAGAGCAGACAUACAAUCCCAUCACUUUAUCAGUUUCUAUAUUUAUGAUAAUGACAUCAACAUAAGGUUACAAAAUAUUGAUCAGGAAUGGUCUUAACACUAUUGACGAGGCCAGCCAUUACUUAUUACUUAUUACUUUCUAAGUAUAUUAUUAUAGAUCGUGCUUAGGUGUUGCACAUCUUCUCUAUGAUUGACGGUAUAAUUUCUUUUUAUGUGUAUCAUCUCGCUUAUAUUACGUCUAUAACCAACCUCUUCUCUAUCAAGAAUUUUUACAUCUUCAAAAUUAAAUUUAUGGCCCAUAGUCAUUUGAUGUAAAGUUAAAGCAGUUUUGUUAAAAUUUGCAAUAUUUUCACUAUCAUAUUUAUGUUGUUUCAUCCUAUCGCGUAAAUACUGUUUUGUUUGGCCAAUGUAACACUUGUUACAAUUGGCACAGGGUAUCUUAUAUACUACUCCUGAUUCUAAAUUAUAAGGUGUUUUAAAUUUCAAAUUUGUGAAAAAUCUCUUUGUGGUCAAUAAGUUGUAAAAGGCACACUUGACAUUCAACUCCUUAAAUAUUUUAUUUAUUCUGUGAGAAAGACCAGGUAAGUACGGAAACCUAAAGUAGGAAGAAAUAGACGAGCUAGAAGGAACAUUAACUAUAUGACUUCGGUUGGAUGUGUGUUUAUUUAUUAUUCUUUUGACUAAGUAUGUAGGAUAGUUAUUCUGCUUCAAAAUAUUUUCAACUUUAUCUAAGUUCUUCCUAUGAAACUUUUUGUUGCUUAGUUUUAAAGCUCUUUUAAUUAAAUUAAGUUUUUUUUUGCAUGCUAUGACUGCUGUAAAAAUUAUGCAUCUGUUAGUGCUUAUUGCUUUAGUGUACCAGUCAGUAAUAAUACUGACUGAUUUUGAAGAUGUAAAAAUUCUUGAUAGAGAAGAAGUUGGUUAUAGACGUAAUAUAAGCGAGAUGAUACACAUAAAAAGAAAUUAUACCGUCAAUCAUAGAGAAGAUGUGCAACACCUAAGCACGAUCUAUAAUAAUAUACUUAAAAAGUAAUAAGUAAUGGCUGGCCUCGUCAAUAGUGUUAAGACCAUUCCUGAUCAAUAUUUUGUAACCUUAUGUUGAUGUCAUUAUCAUAAAUAUAGAAACUGAUGAAGUGAUGGGAUUGUAUGUCUGCUCUCCAAGAGAUUUUGAUUUCUUUGUUAAAUCCUAAUGUUUUUAAAAAGCGUACAAUAUUGUUCUCGUAACUAGCCUUGAAAAAGAAACGAUUUGUUUCGAAACGUCGGCAUUGUUACACAGUGAACAAUAGAUAAUAAACAGUGUCCAACACU
Long non-coding RNA from Coccinella septempunctata (seven-spotted ladybird), 3620 nucleotides. RefSeq lists it as uncharacterized. The transcript has 2 exons. Lineage: Eukaryota; Metazoa; Arthropoda; Insecta; Coleoptera; Coccinellidae. The record is from RefSeq and is a predicted model, not a curated record.